Molecule: non-coding RNA, 119 nt
Filed under: Aphanomyces invadans
Lineage: Eukaryota; Oomycota; Saprolegniomycetes; Saprolegniales; Verrucalvaceae
Source: RNAcentral
GUGUUCGUUGAACCGAGAGAAGGUUAGCAUCUCCCUCGGCAAGGACGAGAUCGCGCUUCGGCGUAGAAACUCUUGUGGUUUAGGCUAUGGCACAUUGUGCCAUCUAACCAAAUUUUUCG